This 467-nucleotide ribosomal RNA is filed under the name uncultured bacterium. RNAcentral's name for it is "partial 16S ribosomal RNA". It matches the Rfam family "Bacterial small subunit ribosomal RNA", at positions 28 to 507 of the family's 1533-position model. The record is from RNAcentral.
GACGAACGCUGGCGGCGUGCUUAACACAUGCAAGUCGAACGGAAAGGCCUCUUUCGGGGGGUACUCGAGUGGCGAACGGGUGAGUAACACGUGAGUAACCUGCCCUUGACUUUGGGAUAACUUCAGGAAACUGGGGCUAAUACCGGAUAGGAGCUCCUGCUGCAUGGUGGGGGUUGGAAAGUUUCGGCGGUUGGGGAUGGACUCGCGGCUUAUCAGCUUGUUGGUGAGGUAGUGGCUUACCAAGGCUUUGACGGGUAGCCGGCCUGAGAGGGUGACCGGCCACAUUGGGACUGAGAUACGGCCCAGACUCCUACGGGAGGCAGCAGUGGGGAAUAUUGCACAAUGGGUGGAAGCCUGAUGCAGCAACGCCGUGUGCGGGAUGACGGCCUUCGGGUUGUAAACCGCUUUCGCUCAUGACGAAGCUUUGUGUGACGGUAGUGGGUAAAGAAGCACCGGCUAACUACGUG